RNAcentral lists this ribosomal RNA (944 nucleotides) under uncultured bacterium. RNAcentral's name for it is "bacterial SSU rRNA". It matches the Rfam family "Bacterial small subunit ribosomal RNA", at positions 50 to 1002 of the family's 1533-position model. The record is from RNAcentral.
UACACAUGCAGUCGAACGAUGAAGCUUUUAUGAAUUCUUCGGAAUGAUUAAAAGUGGAUUAGUGGCGGACGGGUGAGUAACGCGUGAGUAACCUGCCUUACACAAGGGGAUAGCCGUUGGAAACGACGAAUAAUACCCUAUAACAUCAAAUAAUCGCAUGAUAAUUUGAUCAAAGAUUCAUCGGUGUAAGAUGGACUCGCGUCUGAUUAGCUAGUUGGUAGGAUAAAAGCCUACCAAGGCAACGAUCAGUAGCCGGCUUGAGAGAGUGUACGGCCACAUUGGGACUGAGACACGGCCCAGACUCCUACGGGAGGCAGCAGUGGGGAAUUUUGCACAAUGGGGGCAACCCUGAUGCAGCGACGCCGCGUGAUUUAGAAGGCCUUCGGGUCGUAAAAAUCUUUUGUAUGGGGAGAAAAUGACAGUACCAUACGAAUAAGGACCGGCUAAUUACGUGCCAGCAGCCGCGGUAAUACGUAAGGUCCGAGCGUUGUCCGGAAUCAUUGGGCGUAAAGGGUACGUAGGCGGAUAAGCAAGUUAGAAGUGAAAUCCUAUAGCUCAACUAUAGUAAGCUUUUAAAACUGUUCAUCUUGAGGUAUGGAAGGGAAAGUGGAAUUCCUAGUGUAGCGGUGAAAUGCGCAGAUAUUAGGAGGAAUACCGGUGGCGAAGGCGACUUUCUGGCCAUAUACUGACGCUGAGGUACGAAAGCGUGGGUAGCAAACAGGAUUAGAUACCCUGGUAGUCCACGCCGUAAACGAUGAGUGUUAGGUGUCUGGAAUAAUCUGGGUGCCGCAGCUAACGCAUUAAACACUCCGCCUGGGGAGUACGCACGCAAGUGUGAAACUCAAAGGAAUUGACGGGGACCCGCACAAGCAGCGGAGCAUGUGGUUUAAUUCGACGCAACGCGAAGAACCUUACCAAGUCUUGACAUAAUACGGAAGCUCUUA